RNAcentral lists this long non-coding RNA (572 nucleotides) under Homo sapiens (human). RNAcentral describes it as "HSALNT0330667". Lineage: Eukaryota; Metazoa; Chordata; Mammalia; Primates; Hominidae. The record is from RNAcentral.
AGAUGGUGCUUUCAGCUGAUUAACAGGAGACCAGGCCCAGGGGUACCAGGCAGACAGAGAACAUGGAGAUCGGAGACGGGGUUUUGCCAUCUUGCCCAGGCUGGUCUUGAAUUCCUGAGCUCCAGUGAUCAUCCCUCCUUGGCCUUCCAAAGUGUUGGGAUUACAGGAUUCAUGACUACAACCCCAAAAUACGGCACUUCUGCCUGUGUGGAAACAACAGAAGCAGGAAGAUUACUCUCAUUUUUCUCUGGCCUUUUUCCCUUGAAGCAGACUAUAAAGAAGAAUCUGACCUUCCUCUGAAGGAAACCUUCAUUCCAGACAUACCCUCCCUAUAUCCAAAGAACAUCUUUAUCUUUAAAGACACAGAGAUGUCAAGAAGAAUCUGAACAAACAGGCUUUGCCAGAUCCCCCAGUUUACUAAUAUUGAACCAUACUCUUUUGUUCUUCAAUCAUACUUCUGCAUGAUGUCCAUAAAAAUACACAGUUUUCCCCAUUCCUUUUGGGUAUUUAUUCCCGAAAGCUUCUGUGUCAUGUAAAACUUACAUUAAAUAAAUUUGUAUGCUUUUCCUUGU